This 30-nucleotide non-coding RNA is filed under the name Rattus norvegicus (Norway rat). The record is from RNAcentral. Lineage: Eukaryota; Metazoa; Chordata; Mammalia; Rodentia; Muridae.
UUCCUAAACAGUUCGCAAGCUAGAAACCAA